UACGAAGGGGGCUAGCGUUGUUCGGAAUUACUGGGCGUAAAGCGCACGUAGGCGGACAUUUAAGUCAGGGGUGAAAUCCCGGAGCUCAACUCCGGAACUGCCUUUGAUACUGGGUGUCUUGAGUGUGGAAGAGGUGAGUGGAAUUCCGAGUGUAGAGGUGAAAUUCGUAGAUAUUCGGAGGAACACCAGUGGCGAAGGCGGCUCACUGGUCCAUUACUGACGCUGAGGCACGAAAGCGUGGGGAGCAAACAGG
Molecule: ribosomal RNA, 253 nt
Filed under: uncultured bacterium
Lineage: Bacteria
Description: partial 16S ribosomal RNA
Rfam family: Bacterial small subunit ribosomal RNA
Source: RNAcentral